GCCAGCAGCCAUAUCACCCUGCAGCCUCUCAACUAGCGACCCACUGGAGCUCAGCAGGUGUGAGCCUGGUCAGUACCUGGAUAGGAGACCUCCUGGGAAAUCUAAGGUUGCUGCUGGAA
RNAcentral lists this ribosomal RNA (119 nucleotides) under Lepisosteus oculatus (spotted gar). Lineage: Eukaryota; Metazoa; Chordata; Actinopteri; Semionotiformes; Lepisosteidae. The record is from RNAcentral.